Molecule: ribosomal RNA, 207 nt
Filed under: uncultured bacterium
Lineage: Bacteria
Description: partial 16S ribosomal RNA
Rfam family: Bacterial small subunit ribosomal RNA
Source: RNAcentral
CGCGUAGGCGGCCUUAUAAGUCAUUUGUGAAAGCUCUGGGCUCAACCCAGGAAUUGCAAGUGAUACUGUAAGGCUUGAGUUCGGUAGAGGAGGGCGGAAUUCCAGGUGUAGCGGUGAAAUGCGUAGAUAUCUGGAGGAACACCCGUGGCGAAGGCGGCUCUCUGGUCCGAAACUGACGCUGAGGUGCGAAAGCUAGGGUAGCAAACA